UGGGGAAUUUUGGACAAUGGGGGAAACCCUGAUCCAGCCAUCCCGCGUGUGCGAUGAAGGCCUUCGGGUUGUAAAGCACUUUUGGCAGGAAAGAAACGUCAUGGGUUAAUACCCCGUGAAACUGACGGUACCUGCAGAAUAAGCACCGGCUAACUACGUGCCAGCAGCCGCGGUAAUACGUAGGGUGCAAGCGUUAAUCGGAAUUACUGGGCGUAAAGCGUGCGCAGGCGGUUCGGAAAGAAAGAUGUGAAAUCCCAGAGCUCAACUUUGGAACUGCAUUUUUAACUACCGGGCUAGAGUGUGUCAGAGGGAGGUGGAAUUCCGCGUGUAGCAGUAAAAUGCGUAGAUAUGCGGAGGAACACCGAUGGCGAAGGCAGCCUCCUGGGAUAACACUGACGCUCAUGCACGAAGGCGUGGGGAGCAAACAGG
Molecule: ribosomal RNA, 429 nt
Filed under: Acidobacteriota bacterium
Lineage: Bacteria; Pseudomonadati; Acidobacteriota
Description: Acidobacteria bacterium partial 16S ribosomal RNA
Rfam family: Bacterial small subunit ribosomal RNA
Source: RNAcentral